CACCGGGGAUGGCAGAGGGUCG
Molecule: microRNA, 22 nt
Filed under: Homo sapiens (human)
Lineage: Eukaryota; Metazoa; Chordata; Mammalia; Primates; Hominidae
Description: hsa-miR-4655-5p
Source: miRBase by way of RNAcentral